RNAcentral lists this ribosomal RNA (680 nucleotides) under uncultured Wolbachia sp. RNAcentral's name for it is "bacterial SSU rRNA". It matches the Rfam family "Bacterial small subunit ribosomal RNA", at positions 11 to 719 of the family's 1533-position model. Lineage: Bacteria; Pseudomonadati; Pseudomonadota; Alphaproteobacteria; Rickettsiales; Anaplasmataceae. The record is from RNAcentral.
GUUUGAUCCUGGCUCAGAAUGAACGCUGGCGGCAGGCUUAACACAUGCAAGUCGAACGGGGUUAUAUUGUAGCUUGCUAUAGUAUAACUUAGUGGCAGACGGGUGAGUAAUGUAUAGGAAUCUACCUAGUAGUACGGAAUAAUUGUUGGAAACGGCAACUAAUACCGUAUACGCCCUACGGGGGAAAGAUUUAUCGCUAUUAGAUGAGCCUAUAUUAGAUUAGCUAGUUGGUAAGGUAAUGGCUUACCAAGGCAAUGAUCUAUAGCUGAUCUGAGAGGAUGAUCAGCCACACUGGAACUGAGAUACGGUCCAGACUCCUACGGGAGGCAGCAGUGGGGAAUAUUGGACAAUGGGCGAAAGCCUGAUCCAGCCAUGCCGCAUGAGUGAAGAAGGCCUUUGGGUUGUAAAGCUCUUUCGGUGAGGAAGAUAAUGACGGUACUCACAGAAGAAGUCCUGGCUAACUCCGUGCCAGCAGCCGCGGUAAUACGGAGAGGGCUAGCGUCAUUCGGAAUUAUUGGGCGUAAAGAGCGCGUAGGCUGGUUAGUAAGUUAAAAGUGAAAUCCCAAAGCUCAACUUUGGAAUUGCUUUUAAAACUGCUAACCUAGAGAUUGAAAGAGGAUAGAGGAACUCCUAGUGUAGAGGUGAAAUUCGUAAAUAUUAGGAGGAACACCAGNNGCGAA